This 253-nucleotide ribosomal RNA is filed under the name uncultured bacterium. RNAcentral describes it as "partial 16S ribosomal RNA". It matches the Rfam family "Bacterial small subunit ribosomal RNA", at positions 524 to 776 of the family's 1533-position model. The record is from RNAcentral.
UACGAAGGGGGCUAGCGUUGCUCGGAAUCACUGGGCGUAAAGGGUGCGUAGGCGGGUUUUUAAGUCAGGGGUGAAAUCCGGCAGCUUAACUGUCGAAGUGCCUUUGAUACUGGGAAGCUCGAGGGAGGUAGGGGUGUGUGGAACUUCCGGUGGAGCGGUGAAAUGCGUUGAUAUCGGAAGGAACGCCGGUGGCGAAAGCGACGCACUGGACCUCUUCUGACGCUGAGGCGCGAAAGCCAGGGGAGCAAACGGG